UACAGAGGUCUCAAGCGUUGUUCGGAUUCAUUGGGCGUAAAGGGUGUGUAGGUGGCGCGCUAAGUCGGGUGUGAAAUUUCGGAGCUUAACUCCGAAACUGCAUUCGAUACUGGCGUGCUUGAGGACUGGAGAGGAGACUGGAAUUCAUGGUGUAGAGGUGAAAUUCGUAGAUAUCGGGAGGAACACCGGUGGCGAAGGCGGCGACCUGGGUAGAUACUGACGCUGAGGUGCGAAAGCGUGGGGAGCAAACAGG
This 253-nucleotide ribosomal RNA is filed under the name uncultured bacterium. RNAcentral describes it as "partial 16S ribosomal RNA". It matches the Rfam family "Bacterial small subunit ribosomal RNA", at positions 524 to 776 of the family's 1533-position model. The record is from RNAcentral.